Molecule: ribosomal RNA, 467 nt
Filed under: uncultured bacterium
Lineage: Bacteria
Description: partial 16S ribosomal RNA
Rfam family: Bacterial small subunit ribosomal RNA
Source: RNAcentral
GACGAACGCUGGCGGCGUGCUUAACACAUGCAAGUCGAACGGAAAGGCCCUGCUUUUGUGGGGUGCUCGAGUGGCGAACGGGUGAGUAACACGUGAGUAACCUGCCCUUGACUUUGGGAUAACUUCAGGAAACUGGGGCUAAUACCGGAUAGGAGCUCCUGCUGCAUGGUGGGGGUUGGAAAGUUUCGGCGGUUGGGGAUGGACUCGCGGCUUAUCAGCUUGUUGGUGGGGUAGUGGCUUACCAAGGCUUUGACGGGUAGCCGGCCUGAGAGGGUGACCGGCAACAUUGGGACUGAGAUACGGCCCAGACUCCUACGGGAGGCAGCAGUGGGGAAUAUUGCACAAUGGGCGGAAGCCUGAUGCAGCAACGCCGCGUGCGGAUGACGGCCUUCGGGUUGUAAACCGCUUUCGCCUGUGACGAAGCGUGAGUGACGGUAAUGGGUAAAGAAGCACCGGCUAACUACGUG